This is a non-coding RNA of Pelobates cultripes (western spadefoot toad), 284 nucleotides long. NCBI's taxonomy places the organism in Eukaryota, Metazoa, Chordata, Amphibia, Anura, Pelobatidae. The record is from the annotation of a GenBank genome assembly.
CUUCCUUCCUCAAUGUAAAUGUUAAGAUCUAAAAACUCAAUCUGUUCUUUAGAGUGAUUAAAAGUAAAUUUCAAGUGCUUGCAUUGGAUUAUUGUUGAGGUAGAUCUUGAAUUCCUCUAAAGAUUCUAGAUUUCCUUUCCAUAUGAAGAAGCAGUCGUCAAUAUAUCUAUGCCAUAGGGACAGAUUUGCGCCAAAUGGGCAGUGGGUCCAUAUAAAUUCUUCCUCCCACUUACCCAUAAAUAAGUUAGCGUAACUUGGCGCAAAUCGUGUCCCCAUGGCUGUGC